CAGCGGAGGAGUGGAGCGAGAUGGGUUCGAGGACCAUGCGGCAUAUACUCAUAUAAUGACGUGAGGAGGGGGGAUUGCCCCGGGCGCCUCGUGUGCCCCGGAUCAGGCGCCCGCCUAGGAAACUUAACUCUUGUUUUAUUUUGGAAUCUUCUGAGUAGUUUUUACAAAUAAAUAAAAACUUUCAACAACGGAUCUCUUGGUUCUGGCAUCGAUGAAGAACGCAGCGAAAUGCGAUAAGUAAUGUGAAUUGCAGAAUUCAGUGAAUCAUCGAAUCUUUGAACGCACAUUGCGCCCGCCAGUAUUCUGGCGGGCAUGCCUGUCUGAGCGUCAUUUCAACCCUCAUGCCCCUAGGGCGUGGUGUUGGGGAUCGGCCAAAGCCCGCGAGGGACGGCCGGCCCCUAAAUCUAGUGGCGGACCCGUCGUGGCCUCCUCUGCGAAGUAGUGAUAUUCCGCAUCGGAGAGCGAUGAGCCCCUGCCGUUAAACCCCCAACUUUCUAAGGUUGACCUCAGAUCAGGUAGGAAUACCCGCUGAACUUAAGCAUAUCAAUAAGCGGAGGAA
Molecule: ribosomal RNA, 559 nt
Filed under: Clonostachys rosea
Lineage: Eukaryota; Fungi; Ascomycota; Sordariomycetes; Hypocreales; Bionectriaceae
Description: eukaryotic LSU rRNA
Rfam family: 5.8S ribosomal RNA (bases 177-330)
Source: RNAcentral